GACGAACGCUGGCGGCGUGCUUAACACAUGCAAGUCGAACGAAGUGGCGAACGGGUGAGUAAUACGUGGGUAACCUGCCCUCCUUUUUGGGAUAAGCCUUGGAAACGGGGUCUAAUACCGAAUAAAGGGGGAUGGGCUCGCGGCCUAUCAGCUUGUUGGUGGGGUGAUGGCCUACCAAGGCGGUGACGGGUAGCCGGACUGAGAGGGUGAACGGCCACAUUGGGACUGAGAUACGGCCAAGACGCCUACGGGAGGCAGCAGUGGGGGCAAUGGCGCAAUGGUCGAACGCCUGAUGCAGCGACGCCGCGUGGGGGAUGAAGGCUUUCGGGUUGUAAAACUCUUUCGCUAUCGAAGGGGUAGGUGAAGAAUAAGCGCCGGCUAACUACGUGCCAGCAGCCGCGGUAAUUC
Molecule: ribosomal RNA, 408 nt
Filed under: uncultured bacterium
Lineage: Bacteria
Description: partial 16S ribosomal RNA
Rfam family: Bacterial small subunit ribosomal RNA
Source: RNAcentral